This 2239-nucleotide ribosomal RNA is filed under the name Acinetobacter pittii. RNAcentral's name for it is "bacterial LSU rRNA". It matches the Rfam family "Bacterial large subunit ribosomal RNA", at positions 723 to 2925 of the family's 2925-position model. The record is from RNAcentral. Lineage: Bacteria; Pseudomonadati; Pseudomonadota; Gammaproteobacteria; Moraxellales; Moraxellaceae.
AGGCGAUCUAUCCAUGAGCAGGUUGAAGGUUGGGUAACACUAACUGGAGGACCGAACCCACUGUCGUUGAAAAGCCAGGGGAUGACUUGUGGAUAGGGGUGAAAGGCUAAUCAAGCCUGGUGAUAGCUGGUUCUCCCCGAAAGCUAUUUAGGUAGCGCCUCGGACGAAUACCAUAGGGGGUAGAGCACUGUUUCGGCUAGGGGGUCAUCCCGACUUACCAAACCGAUGCAAACUCCGAAUACCUAUGAGUACUAUCCGGGAGACAGACUGCGGGUGCUAACGUCCGUAGUCAAGAGGAAAACAAUCCAGACCGCCAGCUAAGGCCCCAAAAUCAUAGUUAAGUGGGAAACGAUGUGGGAAGGCAUAGACAGCUAGGAGGUUGGCUUAGAAGCAGCCACCCUUUAAAGAAAGCGUAAUAGCUCACUAGUCGAGUCGGCCUGCGCGGAAGAUGUAACGGGGCUAAAACUAUGUGCCGAAGCUGCGGAUUUGACAUUAGUCAAGUGGUAGGGGAGCGUUCUGUAAGCCGAUGAAGGUGUAUUGAGAAGUAUGCUGGAGGUAUCAGAAGUGCGAAUGCUGACGUGAGUAACGACAAAACGGGUGAAAAACCCGUUCGCCGAAAGACCAAGGGUUCCAGUCCAACGUUAAUCGGGGCUGGGUGAGUCGACCCCUAAGGCGAGGCCGAAAGGCGUAGUCGAUGGGAAAUUGGUUAAUAUUCCAAUACUUCUGUGUAAUGCGAUGAGAGGACGGAGAAGGUUAAGUCAGCCUGGCGUUGGUUGUCCAGGUGGAAGGAUGUAGGUAUGUAUCUUAGGCAAAUCCGGGGUACUCUAUACUGAGAUCCGAUAGCAAGCUGUACUUGUACAGUGAAGUGGCUGAUACCAUGCUUCCAGGAAAAGUCUCUAAGCUUCAGUUACACAGGAAUCGUACCCGAAACCGACACAGGUGGUCAGGUCGAGUAGACCAAGGCGCUUGAGAGAACUCUGCUGAAGGAACUAGGCAAAAUGGUACCGUAACUUCGGGAGAAGGUACGCUGUUGUUGGUGAUGGAACUUGCUUCCUGAGCUGACGACAGCCGCAGAAACCAGGCCGCUGCAACUGUUUAUUAAAAACAUAGCACUCUGCAAACACGAAAGUGGACGUAUAGGGUGUGAUGCCUGCCCGGUGCUGGAAGGUUAAUUGAUGGGGUUAGCGUAAGCGAAGCUCUUGAUCGAAGCCCCAGUAAACGGCGGCCGUAACUAUAACGGUCCUAAGGUAGCGAAAUUCCUUGUCGGGUAAGUUCCGACCUGCACGAAUGGCAUAAUGAUGGCGGCGCUGUCUCCAGCAGAGGCUCAGUGAAAUCGAAAUCGCUGUGAAGAUGCAGUGUACCCGCGGCUAGACGGAAAGACCCCGUGAACCUUUACUGCAGCUUGACACUGAACUUUGACCUUACUUGUGUAGGAUAGGUGGGAGGCUUUGAAGUUGGAACGCUAGUUCCAAUGGAGCCGUCCUUGAAAUACCACCCUGGUAAUGUUGAGGUUCUAACUCUGUCCCGUUAUCCGGGACGAGGACCGUGUCUGGUGGGUAGUUUGACUGGGGCGGUCUCCUCCUAAAGAGUAACGGAGGAGUACGAAGGUGCGCUCAGCGUGGUCGGAAAUCACGCGUAGAGUAUAAAGGCAAAAGCGCGCUUAACUGCGAGACCCACAAGUCGAGCAGGUACGAAAGUAGGUCUUAGUGAUCCGGUGGUUCUGUAUGGAAGGGCCAUCGCUCAACGGAUAAAAGGUACUCUGGGGAUAACAGGCUGAUACCGCCCAAGAGUUCAUAUCGACGGCGGUGUUUGGCACCUCGAUGUCGGCUCAUCUCAUCCUGGGGCUGAAGCAGGUCCCAAGGGUAUGGCUGUUCGCCAUUUAAAGAGGUACGCGAGCUGGGUUUAGAACGUCGUGAGACAGUUCGGUCCCUAUCUACCGUGGGCGCUGGAAAUUUGAGAGGAUCUGCUCCUAGUACGAGAGGACCAGAGUGGACGAACCUCUGGUGUACCGGUUGUGACGCCAGUCGCAUCGCCGGGUAGCUAUGUUCGGAAGGGAUAACCGCUGAAAGCAUCUAAGCGGGAAGCCUACCUCAAGAUAAGAUUUCCCUAGGAAUUUAUUCCUCUAAAGAGCCGUUCGAGACUAGGACGUUGAUAGGUUGGAUGUGGAAGCAUAGUGAUAUGUGAAGCUGACCAAUACUAAUUGCUCGUGAGGCUUGACUAUACAACACCCAAGCAGUUG